UCUUCCUACCUGAUAUCCAUAACGUGCAUUGAUGUGAUGCUAUCCACAUUCACUCACAUCCUCAAAGUGGAGGAUGUGGGACGGUAUCAUCACUAUUCGGUAGUAUUAUGUAGGACCCCCGUACACGUGUUCACUUAUAGUUACAAAGUGACUUCAAAGUAACUGACAAAAAUUGGAAAAAUAUUUAAAAUUUUGAGUUCCGACAAUUUCAUUCAACAUUUAAAAGACAAUACGGAGCACUUCCACCGUCUGCUGGACGAACUGUCUGAGGCACACGGCGACUCAAUGGUGAGACCAGGAUACCGAACUCGUUUACUAUCGAUUUUGAAUGGUCAGAUUCCUGAUAUAGACCAAUGUCGAUGGAAUGCGAGGCGGCAUAGGUGGAGCAUUUGUCGGGUCUACCGGUUUUGACGGUGUACUUGGGGAGUUUGAUCUAUUUGUUUCAGAUGUUGUUUUUGUGGCGAUCUCCCCAUCAAACCACUCCAACGUAACAUUUUAUCGAUACAAAGCACGAGAACGUCUCACUUUUGAAUUUUUUUUGCCCCUCAAUCCCCUCACGCCAUUUUGUGUAGGUAAGUUCCGCGCAGAUGCUGCAUUAAGUUUUUCUGAAUGGCAGCAGAGUGUCAUAGCAGGAGCGUUGGAUGGCGUAGAAAGAUAUACGAUUGUCUCUCCCGCUGAUCCAAUUGGAAGUAACUUCACUUGGAAAUAACUUCCUCUACAAGCUGGCGAGAUUUUGGCAUCGAUAACUUUAAAUUUUUAUCACAAUAAAAAGCCGUAAUGGUUUUUCUCAUUAA
Drosophila miranda is the source of this 794-nucleotide long non-coding RNA. RefSeq lists it as uncharacterized. The record is from RefSeq and is a predicted model, not a curated record. Lineage: Eukaryota; Metazoa; Arthropoda; Insecta; Diptera; Drosophilidae. The transcript has 2 exons.